Molecule: non-coding RNA, 387 nt
Organism: Oryctolagus cuniculus (rabbit)
Lineage: Eukaryota; Metazoa; Chordata; Mammalia; Lagomorpha; Leporidae
Source: RefSeq, a predicted model, not a curated record
UGUCCUAUAGUAGCCCAGCUCCUGAUAUCUUAAUAAUCUUUCCCUCCCAUCUAUAUCUGGGGCACUGCAGAAGGUCCGGACACCUUGGUAACCUCUCCCUCCAGUCCGUCUACCUGGGGCACUGCAGAAGGUCCUGACACCUUGGUAACCUCUCCCUCCAGUCCGUCUACCUGGGGCACUGCAGAAGGUCCGGACACCUUGGUAACCUCUCCCUCCAGUACGUCUACCUGGGGCACUGCAGAAGGUCCUGACGCCUUGGUAACCUCUCCCUCCAGUCCGUCUACCUGGGGCACUGCAGAAGGUCCUGACGCCUUGGUAACCUCUCCCUCCAGUCCGUCCACCUGGGGCACUGCAGAAGGUCCGGACACCUUGGUAACCUCUCCCUCC